GCCAGUAGCCAUAUCACCCUGUAACCCACCGCUGACAGCCCACUGAAGCUAAGCUGGUGUGAGCUGGGUCAGUACCUGGAUGUGAGAACUCCUGGAAAAAAGUAAGGUUGCUGCUAGGU
RNAcentral lists this ribosomal RNA (119 nucleotides) under Lepisosteus oculatus (spotted gar). The record is from RNAcentral. Lineage: Eukaryota; Metazoa; Chordata; Actinopteri; Semionotiformes; Lepisosteidae.